This 28-nucleotide small RNA is filed under the name Bombyx mori (domestic silkworm). RNAcentral describes it as "ovarian small RNA-33038". The record is from RNAcentral. Lineage: Eukaryota; Metazoa; Arthropoda; Insecta; Lepidoptera; Bombycidae.
UGAUUCAAACUGGCCUUAAUGCAAUUCA